This is a non-coding RNA of Pogona vitticeps (central bearded dragon), 1082 nucleotides long. NCBI's taxonomy places the organism in Eukaryota, Metazoa, Chordata, Lepidosauria, Squamata, Agamidae. The record is from RefSeq and is a predicted model, not a curated record.
GAUGAUAUGAUGGUUUUUUAAAAGUUGUCUAUAACAGUAUGGUUUUUAAAAAGUUGUCUAUAACAGUAUUGCCUACUCUUGUAUUUGUAUUUUGUAAUGACCACACUUUUCCCUUUUAUCUCUAUUAGAAAAGACAGUAUUCCAUUGGGUUCUCAGGCGAUAAUCCUCCUUUUGAAGUUCUCCUCCACUUGAAAGACUGUCUAAUUUAAAAAAAGGCAGGGCCAGAAGAAAGGAGAUCAUGGACCUUGAAGAUGCCCAUCCAAUAUGAGCACCUGAGGAGCAGAAUCAGUAGCCUUAUGCAUAAUCAAAUGACAAGUGCUUGCAAGUGACCAGUAUUAAGUGUGGUUAUUUGGAUCUGGUGGAUGUCCAGUGCUGUUCCUGUGUCCAGCUGUGUUGCCACCUGCUUCUGUUACCACAGGUGCAGCAAAACAGCCUAAGCUGCUAGCUCAUUUUGGACGUAUCUGCGCACUCCACCUAGAUACUUAUCAGUCUCUUUAAUUAAGUGGAGGGAAACAUCUAUAGGCCAUGCCCAUAAAGCCAGACCUGGUGAGAGUGGAGCUGCUGGAAGCCGCCAACAAUUUCUUACUCCCACAGACUGGGGUCAUCAUCCAAGCACUACCCCCACAAUCAUCUCAAGUGCUACUGUGAGGAUUCGAAAUGAAAGCAAAGUAAUCGAGAGCAAAGGGAAAGGCAUCACUUGCAAUAAAAUGUUGCAGCGUAGGGAAAACUCCACAGAAAGAGUACAGGGGUGAAAAGAUUUUAAAAAGACCAGCGUGGAAAAAUGUGAAUCAGCAGAAGAAGAGGGGUGGGCCUAGAAACAGUGGUUUAUUUGUUUAACCUGGUAAGGUUGCAUACCAUUGCUAUGAAAUACAUUAAUGGUGUGCAGAAUUGUGUAUAAAUGUGUUUGUGGGGUUGAUGCUGAUGCUGCUGUUUUUUUGGACUACAGAACUGUGUUCCUCCAGCACUGUUCAUCUUGAGAGUCAGAGAUAUACUGUAUAUCAAUUCUCCGAGACUUCAGCCACUGUUCUGAGAUCUAGCCUUGUCUUUUCUCUUCCUCGGCACCCUCUUUCCUCUUAAAUUGC